Cydia fagiglandana is the source of this 642-nucleotide long non-coding RNA. RefSeq lists it as uncharacterized. The transcript is spliced from 2 exons. Lineage: Eukaryota; Metazoa; Arthropoda; Insecta; Lepidoptera; Tortricidae. The record is from RefSeq and is a predicted model, not a curated record.
UAACAUGAUAAAAAUAUCAUUCCGAUGUCAGUGUACGGUCGGUGCCCCAACUUAAGUAUCCACGUCGCCAUACUAAUUGUAUAGAAAAGUGGAUAGAGUUAGACCAAGAAAAGUCUGCAGAGAUUUUGACAGCACACGCAGUGCCAAUGUUAUUUGUGCCAGUGUCAAAAUCUCUGCAGACUUUUCUUGGUCUAACUCUACUUAUGUUAGGGAACCAACAUUACCUUUUAAUUAGCCUGUAAACUGCAACUGAGAAGCUUCGUGCGCGUUUGGUUUGCCAGUCUUUUCAGUCUUUGUUCCUCCUCGAGUCGCAAUAGAAGGACUGACGAAAUUUGCUUACUUAUUUCGAGUAAGAAUUUAAAUAUCUAACUAAUCUAAAUUCUAAAGAGAAUAGAUUGUAUAGGGGACGUGCAUGAACUAUAGGGGGCAGCACAGGAGCCGUCAGAUCUUUGGCGCGAAGCGUAGAUGUCUAGUUUAUGAUUCCGAUGUAGCCCACAAGAUGGCAGAACCUACUAUGCACAAGAAAACGUACCUACGAGAACGGUUGAAGGUAGCACUUGCUUUGGCAAUGUACAUGUGCACAUAUGUUUCCGAUUCAGGCCACAAGAUGGCAGGCCCUCCAACGCGCACGGUCCCUAUAAG